CCUAACUUCUUAAUUGAAAACUUAGAAUAUAAAAUAAAAUUAAAAACUAAAAAAAAGAAGUAAAAGUUAUUUAUUGGUUCGACUAAUGAUUCAACCAGUAUCGGAUUCCGGGUUUUACCGGAUUUUUGCGGGUUUUUAAAUAUUGGGUUUUUCACAAAACUCACACUAUAUUUUUUUUAGGUCACCGGAUUUACUGGUUCAACCGUGGGUUUGGGUCGGAUUGCAAAACAUUGGUUUCAUCUUUUCCGUCUAUACUCCCUGUUCAUAAUUAGAAUUUCACCCGUUAUUCUUGGCAUAUGUUAACCGAGACGAUGAAUAGAAUAAGAUAGAUACGUAACCAUCAUCUAUUUUAAACAACACAGAAAUUUUGUUUUACAGUUUCUAAUUAACCGCUUUGUUCGAAGCAACAACCCUCAUGUGACAAUAUAAUCUAUGUUUAUACAAUAUUUGAUUAAAAUACUAUUUUACUUUGAUUAAAUAUUAUGAUAAAAUUAUUUAAAAUACAAUAAGUUUGACCUGUGCGUGGCACGAGAGAAACACAAGCACAAGAGUAACACUAGCAUGUGAACAAGCUGUAGAUAUAUUACUUUUUUUUUCCUUUCUUCUACAAGUUGACAUCGAUUACUUAAAAAAAUAGAAAUAAAUGAGAUGCCACACCAGUAAAUAUAGAUAGGAGAGACCUCAUUUGCAACCAUCUGUCACUUUUUAACUAAAUUCCUAACAUAUCUCAAGUGAGUCCGUACUGUGUUUUCGCCGUGAUAACGCCUCUCGCCCUCCUUCAUUACACAAUGGACGUCAACAGCCGCCCAUUUUCGUGGACGAAUCAUCAGGUGUUCGUCAGUUUCCGUGGAGAGGAGCUCCGGAGUGGUUUCGUCAGCCAUCUUGUGGAAGCUCUCCAGAGACAUGGGAUCAACGUUUUCAUAGACAAACUCGAGACCAUUGGGCAAGAUCUCUCCAACCUCUUCGCGAGGAUUGAGGAGUCAACCAUCGCUUUGGUGAUAUUCUCCAGAAGGUACACCGAGUCAAGAUGGUGCUUAGACGAAGAUCAAGGAACGUGCAGACCAAGGCUUGCUCAAGGUUAUUCCCAUCUUUUUCAAAGUGGAACCAGUCACCGUGAAACAACUCCGUGGAGCAUUCGGGGACAAGUUCAGGGAUCGAGAGUGGGAGUAUCGGUGUGACAAACCCAGAACCAAUAGAUGGAAGGAGGCGUUAGCAUCUGUUUUAAGCAAAAUUGGCUUGACCUUUGACAGGAAAAGUAACGAAAGUAUGUUUGUCAGGAUAAUCGUUAACGAGGUCGAGAAAAUGCUACAACCACAAGUGAAGUUUGCGGCCAUUCCACUUUCAGGAGGAGGCCAGGGGGGUAUGAACAUACUAGCAUUGGGUCAAGAUCAGAUGGAUAUAUCAAGAGACAGACAGUGCUCUUGUGCAAGAGAACUCUUACAUUGCUAACUAGAUUGUAGUUGUUUCCAAUGCUUACAUGGAUAUCGAAUAUCACAACAGCCUUCUAAGGGCUCAGCUCAUUGCGCUAAGGGAGAAGCUGCACUCACUACACUCUAUCACAACCAACACUGGCCUCUGCUGAUUUUCUUACCUGUAACAUUUAAUUUAAAUCUCAUCUGAAUGGGCAUUGCCUCGUCUUUGGUUGAAUCUCAAUUUCUGAAAAAAAUAAAAAUAAAAUUGAGCGACU
Brassica napus (rape) is the source of this 1687-nucleotide long non-coding RNA. RefSeq lists it as uncharacterized. Lineage: Eukaryota; Viridiplantae; Streptophyta; Magnoliopsida; Brassicales; Brassicaceae. The transcript has 3 exons. The record is from RefSeq and is a predicted model, not a curated record.